CCCAGUUUUGCUCCAAGGACCAAUCUCAAAUUGCCCCCGUAACUUCGGGAGAAGGGGGGCCUCCGCUGGUGAUCAGACUUGCUUUGUGAGCUGGUGGGGGUCGCAGAGGCCAGGGGGAAGCGACUGUUUACUAAAAACACAGGUCCGUGCGAAGUCGUAAGACGAUGUAUACGGACUGACGCCUGCCCGGUGCUGGAACGUUAAGGGGACCGGUUAGCGCACUUCGGUGUGCGAGGCUGAGAACUUAAGCGCCAGUAAACGGCGGUGGUAACUAUAACCAUCCUAAGGUAGCGAAAUUCCUUGUCGGGUAAGUUCCGACCUGCACGAAUGGCGUAACGACUUCCCCGCUGUCUCAACCGCAGACCCGGCGAAAUUGCACUACGAGUAAAGAUGCUCGUUACGCGCAGCAGGACGGAAAGACCCCGGGACCUUCACUACAGCUUGACAUUGGCGUUUGGAACGUCUUGUGUAGGAUAGGUGGGAGACUGUGAAGCUGUCACGCUAGUGGCGGUGGAGUCAUUGGUGAAAUACCACUCUGGUCGUUUUGAACGUCUAACUUCGGUCCGUGAUCCGGAUCAGGGACAGUGUCUGGUGGGUAGUUUAACUGGGGCGGUUGCCUCCUAAAGAGUAACGGAGGCGCCCAAAGGUUCCCUCAGCCUGGUUGGUAAUCAGGUGUCGAGUGUAAGUGCACAAGGGAGCUUGACUGUGAGACCGACGGGUCGAGCAGGAGCGAAAGCUGGGACUAGUGAUCCGGCGGUGGCAUGUGGAAGCGCCGUCGCUCAACGGCUAAAAGGUACCCCGGGGAUAACAGGCUGAUCUUCCCCAAGAGUCCAUAUCGACGGGAUGGUUUGGCACCUCGAUGUCGGCUCGUCGCAUCCUGGGGCUGGAGUAGGUCCCAAGGGUUGGGCUGUUCGCCCAUUAAAGCGGUACGCGAGCUGGGUUUAGAACGUCGCGAGACAGUUCGGUCCCUAUCCGCUGCGCGCGCAGGAGACUUGAAAGGAGCUGUCCCUAGUACGAGAGGACCGGGACGGACGAACCUCUGGUGUGCCAGUUGUUCCGCCAGGAGCAUGGCUGGUUGGCUACGUUCGGAAGGGAUAACCGCUGAAAGCAUCUAAGCGGGAAGCUCGCCUUGAGAUGAGGUCUCCCACCACGUGAGUGGGUAAGGCCCCCGGGAGACGACCGGGUUGAUAGGCCGGAGGUGGAAGCAUGGUAACGUGUGGAGCUGACCGGUACUAAUAGGCCGAGGACUUGACCG
This 1255-nucleotide ribosomal RNA is filed under the name metagenome. Its description in RNAcentral is "bacterial LSU rRNA". It matches the Rfam family "Bacterial large subunit ribosomal RNA", at positions 1695 to 2925 of the family's 2925-position model. The record is from RNAcentral.